RNAcentral lists this long non-coding RNA (203 nucleotides) under Gorilla gorilla gorilla (western lowland gorilla). RNAcentral describes it as "lncRNA (ENSGGOG00000044656.1)". The record is from RNAcentral. Lineage: Eukaryota; Metazoa; Chordata; Mammalia; Primates; Hominidae.
GGAUCAUAGCAGACUCUGCCUAUGGAGGCCUGGGGUCCCUUUGGCAGCACUUUUGUCAAGAAAGUAGAGUCGUGGACAACCAACUGCACAGGUUGGGAGAAAGCCAGUGCUCAGUGGGGUGUGAGAUGCCAAAUGACCAGACUCUCCAGGGUUCAGCAGCGUGACUAUAAAGAGAAGAAUGCUUUCAAAGAAUUCAAAAAGGC